RNAcentral lists this ribosomal RNA (257 nucleotides) under uncultured Stenotrophomonas sp. RNAcentral describes it as "partial 16S ribosomal RNA". It matches the Rfam family "Bacterial small subunit ribosomal RNA", at positions 96 to 355 of the family's 1533-position model. The record is from RNAcentral. Lineage: Bacteria; Pseudomonadati; Pseudomonadota; Gammaproteobacteria; Lysobacterales; Lysobacteraceae.
UGGCGGACGGGUGAGGAAUACAUCGGAAUCUACUCUGUCGUGGGGGAUAACGUAGGGAAACUUACGCUAAUACCGCAUACGACCUACGGGUGAAAGCAGGGGAUCUUCGGACCUUGCGCGAUUGAAUGAGCCGAUGUCGGAUUAGCUAGUUGGCGGGGUAAAGGCCCACCAAGGCGACGAUCCGUAGCUGGUCUGAGAGGAUGAUCAGCCACACUGGAACUGAGACACGGUCCAGACUCCUACGGGAGGCAGCAGCC